Molecule: non-coding RNA, 20 nt
Filed under: Arabidopsis thaliana (thale cress)
Lineage: Eukaryota; Viridiplantae; Streptophyta; Magnoliopsida; Brassicales; Brassicaceae
Source: RNAcentral
UGCAGCGAGAUAGUGAUGCC